RNAcentral lists this ribosomal RNA (420 nucleotides) under uncultured bacterium. Its description in RNAcentral is "bacterial SSU rRNA". It matches the Rfam family "Bacterial small subunit ribosomal RNA", at positions 356 to 773 of the family's 1533-position model. The record is from RNAcentral.
AGGGAAUAUUGGGCAAUGGGCGAGAGCCUGACCCAGCCAUGCCGCGUGCAGGAAGAAGGCUUUCUGAGUCGUAAACUGCUUUUGACAGGGAAGAAUAACCAGUACGUGUACUGGGAUGACGGUACCUGCAGAAUAAGCACCGGCUAACUCCGUGCCAGCAGCCGCGGUAAUACGGAGGGUGCGAGCGUUGUCCGGAUUUAUUGGGUUUAAAGGGUGCGUAGGCGGCUUUUUAAGUCUGGGGUGAAAGCCCGCUGCUCAACAGCGGAACUGCCCUGGAUACUGGAGAGCUUGAGUACAGACGAGGUUGGCGGAAUGGACUGAGUAGCGGUGAAAUGCAUAGAUACAGUCCAGAACCCCGAUUGCGAAGGCAGCUGACUAGGCUGUUACUGACGCUGAGGCACGAAAGCGUGGGGAGCGAAC